CAUAAAAUCCACCUCAUUAAUUAUUGGAACUUGAUGAUUUUUCCUAAUUAAGCAAUGCAACUUUGUUCACUUCCAAAUUCUCAAUCAACUUGUAGCAGUAAUAAGAGCUACUAGUUAGUUGUUGUACUAUUUUCUUCUCAUUUUUUUCUCUUCUUUAUUGUCAAUUAAAUUAAUUAAGAUCUCAUUUGCACAAUUACAUAAAUGAUGAAUUUUUUAAUAAUCACUUGGUGCCUUAUAUAUAUAUAUAUAUAUAUAUAUAUGAAGUGUAUAAUAUUAUUUUAAUAAGGUUAUUUUGAAUUUCAAAAAAUGAAAAUCCAUCCAACUGAGUGAUAGUUAUAUAAGUGACUUUUAAUUUAUUUAUAGUGUUUUAUAUUUUUAAUAUAACAAUAUAGUAUUUUAUAUUUUUAUAUUAAAAUCUAACACCUAUUUUUACACUAUCUAUACUAAAUUAAACUUGUCAGCAAACUGAUUGAGAUUGACUAUUAAAAAGCCUAUAUAAGUCCAUUCAGAUCUUAUAAUUGACUAUUAAGACCAAUUAAUUAGGGGUUCUUUAAAAUCCUUAAACAUAAUUGACUUGAAGAAAUUAAUUGAAGAGACAUACAUCGCACAUAUAAUAUCAAGUCAAAAGGAGCAAACCAAACCAUUUUCCAACCUGAUCAAUAUUUAAAAAAUAAGGGGGUCUUUAUUUAUUGAACCAUAUAUAUAUAUAUAUGAAAAGGAAAUAUAUAAAUCAUGGUUCAAUUUUGCAUAUAAAACAAACAUAAUAAAUCAGUUUUGGUGAGUUUUGUUAACCCUUUUUGUUCCAUAAUUAGUUGGUGGAACUGAAUAGAUAGAUGCAUUUAUGUGUUUUCAAGUCACAUAUUGGGUGUGCGUCUAUGCAUCUUUGCCCCUUAACACAAUCAACAUUCUUAGUGCAUCCUACUGCAUGACUUCCUUGUCCUAUCAACAUUCACAUCGUUGAACUAGUCAGUGACGUAUUGUGACACUCCCAAAAUUUCUAAGUUAUGACCUGAAUCAUUCUAUAACACCUCACAACUGUACUCUUAAAAUUUGAAUAAUUCGUGUAACACCCCGGACUUUAAAAAGGGAUAUAGAGGGGAAACGAGCAAGUUCACGAACCCAAAAUGGACCCUUCACGGCACCCUAGACGGUCCAUUUAGGGGUUCACGACCCGUUUUGGGCAUUGUGAAUGACCAUCCAAGGUUUCCUAGACAGAAGUCACCUAGACGGGACCCUAGACGGCCCGUGGUGACUUGUACGGUCCGUUUAGGGGUCCAUACAAGUCACCCAUCAAUUUUUAAGUUUUGUCUCAACUUCAAAUGAUCAAAUCUCUCCGCACAUAAUGAAUUAGGUGGUCAUGACCUAUCAAAUUAAAGGUCUUUGAGUCUUCUUUUCAACAUCACCAAGUUUGCCUCAUUUCGAGCCCGGAGUAAAACGUUAUCCCCGUUUUAGUGAAGCACUGUUAGGAAGGUGAAGCUUCUCGACCGGCUAGACGGUCCGUAAAGAGUUUCACGGUCCGUAAAGCCUUAAACGGUCUGUGAAACCGCCCGUUUUAGGCACCUUUUCAGUUUUAAAAGUUGGAGUCAUUUUGGUCUUUCCCCUAUGUCGUUUUAGAUCCUAUUCUAAGUCGUUUUUGAGUGUUUUAACUGAGUAUAUCAUUCAACUAACUAGUUUUCAUCAAUCAAAACAUUCAAGUAUUUUGAAAAUUCUCUUAAGACUCACGUCUAGGGUUCCUCUUCUCCAUGAAGAACCCUAAAACUUUCAUGCCAAAAAAUCAAGAUACAAAGAGAAGCCUCCCACCCUAGGUUUUCCCAAGUUCUUCCAUUCUAAUAACUUCAUAAAAAAGUUUCUUUUAUCAAGAGCAAGCACCAAGAUUCCAACAUUUAUAAAUAAUUCCGACUUAUCACUCUCUUUUGAUUUUAACACUUACAAAUAAUUUGUCUCCUAAGACCAUUUAGGGGUUCGUCAAAAUAUAAGAUUCUUUAAAAUCUUUAAAGAUAAUUCAUUGAAAAUAAAAUAUAUGGCGCAAAUAACAAGAAGUUAAAAGGAGCAAACAAAACCAUUUUCAAACAUAAUCAAUAUGAAAAAGGGGUUCUUUAUUUAUUGAACCAUAUAUAUAUUUAUGAAAAGGAAAUACAUAAAUCAUGGUUCAAUUUUACAUAUGAAUAACAAACAUUGUAAAUCAGUUUUGGUGAGUCUUGUGAACCCUUUUUGUUCCAUAAUUUGGUGGAACUGGACAGUAGCACUUAUGUUUUUUCAAGUCACAUUUGGGGUCUGCAUCUAUGCAUUUAAUAAUCUUAUCACAAUCAGCAUCCUUAGUGCAUCCUCGUUUCGCAUGACUUCCUUGUCCUACCAACAUUUACAUUGUUGAACAAAUCAGUGACAUAUACAAAUUUUUUUUAUAACACAUAAUCAAUAUUUGAAAAGGUAAAUAAAUUAUUAGUUUUACUGGUCGAUACAUAUAGCUUAAAUCUUAGACACAUAAAUUGAUAAGAAAAUUGCUUACCGAACAACAUAAGCAAAAUGGAGAUCAAGAAAACCUUAAGGAAUGUUGCCAUCUCCAUUUUCUUUUCCAAGUUUUGUGAUAACACAAGAGUAAUUAACUAUAUAUGUGAUUGUUAUUAUUGAUUUUAAUUGUCAUUCUUAGCAAUGUAUUUAUAGGGAAACAAAGACAUUUGGUUGAUAGAGAAAUAAUAACUUGGAAAAAGAAAUUUAAUGUACUUUCCCUAAAUUAAAGAAGUCAAAUCAAAUACUAAGGUUACACAAUACAAGUAAUCUAAAAUCAUUAAUAUGGUCAACUAAUGAUUUCUUUUUUUUUUAAAUGGAUAAAUUGAAUUAUUUUGAAAAGUGGGUAAAUUUGCCUUUGUUGUUUGAGAAGUAGAGUCGUUAGUGUGGGCUAGGUCCGUUAGGCUGGCCUGGCCUGGCCUGGCCUAACCCAUGAUUUAAUAGGGUUGGGCUAAGAUUUUUGGAGCCCAUUUAAGAAAAGGGGUUUUUAGCCCGGCAUGAAUAAACCUGAUGAUUUGUGGGACUUGAUAAAUAUAAGUAGGGCCGGUCCAUAGGCCAAAUAAAAAUUAAUUAAAAAAUAAAAAUAAAACAGAGUACUAAAAAUAACAAGAGUCCAAACUCAAAAUGUAACACCUCGGAUUUUGAAAGAGCUAAAGAGAGGUUCGUACAAUUCACCCAUCAGUUUUAAGUUUGGGUGAAUUUCAAACGACUAUAUCUUUUAACACUUAAAGAGUUAGGUGUCUCAUGACCUAUCAAAUUAAAGGUCUUUGAGUUCUCUUUCCAACGCCACCAAGUUUGCUUCAUUUAGGCUUGGAUUAAAAAGUUAUGCCCGUUUGAGUGAAGCAUCUCUUCUAAAGGCACCUCAAUCAUUUUUAGAAGGGUAGUUUGGUCUUUUCUUUUUUCCUUCUAAGCCUAGCCACGUUUUCUUCACCCAAAUAAGGGUCUAAUCAAAUGCUAAACCACCUUUUCACGUUCCUAAACACUUAGAGAAAUUAGAUCGAGAUUCUAAGAGGAGAAAAACUCAAGCAUUCUUCAAGAUUUGUCGAUUUUCACCAAGAACAUUGUUGUUUCUAGGUAUGUAAGGAUUCUCAGUGUUGGACUUGUUCAUCCUCACGCCAUACAUCUAGUUAUCCAUGAAUUGUUGUGUCUAAAGACUUCUUGAGUAGUUCUUGAUAAUUGUUGAAUUCCUUUACAAUGGAGAUUGUUAAUUCUUGUGUGUUGUGAAUCUUUAGUAAAAGUUGUGUUUCCCAAAGGGAUUUUGUUGAAUUCCUUAUGUAUUCGGGUUGGGUUUGAUAAUCGAUAAGAAUUUAGGAGAAUUUCUCCCAUUCUAAACGAGUUAAGACCCUAAAUUGAAUAUAAAAAUUUGUCGGAUUUCUGGGUAUGGGGUGGGGGCUCCCUAAAUUUUGGUCUAUAGUUUGAGGCCUGGCGACCCAUGCCAGCAGUGCAUCCCAAACUUUGAUCACUAGGUUGGGGCCUGGCGCCCUACGCCAAUAGUGCGCCAAGGUCUCUUGGUCUUUUUCUUUUCGUGCUUCAUUCAGGACGUGUUCCUUUGAAUCGUGACUGCAUUCUCUUCUUUGUAUUAGUUCCUAAUGGCUCCGUUCAUCCUUUAGAGAUCCUACAUAUCCUAAUCACAUGUCUUAAUUUACAUUCCAAACUAAAAUGAGUUUAAGAAGAAAGUUCAAGAGAUCUUUUGAGUCAUUUGGAGGAUUCUUUUGUAAUUAACAAUGGUUUUGAACCAAGUCUUGAGAAAGUAAGUAUGAGUAAUGAGGAGAGUUGUAUUCAUAAUUGAAAAAGAGUAUAAGAGAACUAAGUAUUCCUAAAUAUAACACUUUUAUAUUUAAAGAGAGAAACGUUGAUUUCUAAAUGAGUUUAUGGGUUCAGAGAUAUUUUAGAGUAUUAUCUAUUUUAAGAGGAUCUAUUGAGUAAUUACCUCAAAUUGUGAAAGAGUUAUGUUUUAUACAUUUGAGCAUGAGUUUAUAUAUGUAACACCUCGUUAAUCGAAAGAGCUAGAAUUAGAAAGAACCAUUUUUGGAAAGAAUGAUAAAUCUGAAAUUUGGCAAAGUUAUGUUAAGUAUGAAUUUUGGGUGAACUUCAAACGCCACCGAGUUUGCUCAAAUACACGCACCAAAUUUUCAUUUCAUGCUCAAAUAGCAAAAAAGAUAAAUUCUAAUCCAUCAGGAUCACACAAUUUUAUGUCCUUCCCAUAAAUAAUGUAGCUAACUAAAGAAAUUAAAUUAAUCUAAGACUAAAAGGUAACACAAUCUUUUCUUAUGGGACAUUCAAUAACUAAUUAGAGAAAAAAUGUUUUAAGUUUUACACAGGGUGUGUUUGGUAUGAAGGAAAAUACUUUUAGAAAGUAUUUUCCAAUUUUCUCAUGUUUAACUUAAAUGUUUCAAAAAAUAUUUUCUCAAAUGAACUUAAAUUUUUUUCAAAUUAAGGAAAAUGACUUUCCUACAAAGUAAAGAUCUAGAAAGCAUUUUUCAAAAUUCUCUUUCAACUUUAUCACUCAAAUGCCGACCCCGACUUAGGAGCCAACACCUGACCCAACUCAAACUAGAUUCCUUACCUUGACUCGGGCCCUGACCCUAUUGUCGGCCCACGACCCAAAUCUAACUUACACUCGACCCAAGACCUAACUCCCGAUGCAUACCUGACUCUUAACCCUUGACCCAACUCCCGACCUCGAGCCCAACCCUACACCCUAUUUCCAACCUUGACCCAGGACCCAACCUCGACCUUGAUUUGAAACCCAAACUCCUGACCCCAGCUCGAGAAACUCCCAACUCUAAUCCAGAACCUCGACACUAGUAUUGAACAAGAUCUGAGAUGUAUCUCUUGACCCUGACCUUGACUCGACUCUUUCUGGUAACUAACUCCCGACCUUGAUCGUGAUUUAGGAUCCAACUUUAUUGUCCCUGAUCCAAUUUACAAACCAAAAUCAACUCCGAACCCUACACAGGAUCCAACUCCCGACCCCUACCCAGGAUACAUAAACGUGCCCUUUAACUUGACCUCAACUGAUAAUUAUGCCCUCCAACAUCGGAUGUGCACAUGUAGACACUUAAAACUUGUAUAAAGUUGAACUAGUAGACACAUGUGUCCUACGUGACAUGAUACUCGUAGAACGUCACGUGAGACGCGAAUUGCCACAUACACGCCUCUUACGUGGCAUAACAAUCUUUUUAAUUAAUUAUUCUUAAUAAUGGGGAGAAAUCGGAUUCAAUUCACAUCACAAACUCUGAGUCAGUUCAUAGAUGGUCACUCAACGUUAACUUUGUUGCACUUAAUUGACUAAAAUAAUUUUAUAAUAAAAAAGUUACUUAUAUUUGCCUAACUAGUAAGUUGAUAUGUAUCACGAAAAGUCAUAAGGAGGAAAUAAAAGAGACAUUUUAUAUGAUACACUUAAACAAAAUUGAAUGACUUUCUAUCAUGAAACUUAUACAAUAACAAAAAUUAGUUUAACUUGAACAAAAUUACGUACAUCAUUUACAAAAAAAUAAUAAUUCCACGACUCUUCGGUACGAUAAAUCAAAAAUGAAUUGACAAUCCAAGAAAUCACCCCUUACAAAUCAUUAGGUUGUUCGUUCGCGUUAACUGCAAGUGGAGCUCCAACUGGUGGACGUGAAGGAGAUUUGCAAUAACACUUACUUGUUUUCAAGUAACAUGUAGGAUUUUGAGCAGGAUUCAAACAUUUCAAUAGAACAGCGCAAUCGGGAUCAUUUUUACACAUAGAUUCAUUAUAAUUUGGUUUACUAUUUGGAAGUUUACAAUAACAGUUUUUUGUACUUGCAAAACAUGCAGGUACUCCCUUCAAACAAUUCAAUUGUCUAGCACAAUCUGCAGAUGUUCUGCACCUAAAAGGUUUAGUAUCAUGUGGAAGUCUGCAAUAACACAUGUUUGAUAUGUAGUAACAUACAGGAUGUCCUUCAUUGCAUUUUAAAUUUUUUAUGCAAAUGUCACUGUCGUUGCACCAAGUAACUCCGUUGAUUGUUUGUCCUAACAACACCAUUGAUAAUAUUGUCGCGUAAGUUAGUUAAAACAUAUCUGAAGUAUCCUGAUAUUUUGUCUAAAUAUGAUUAUAACAAGAGUUAUAAGACUCAAAAAAAAUGUAGAAUGGUUUUCUGAGUUUUGUCAUGAACUAUCAGUUGUUCACUUUUCCUACCUGAAGUUCAGGUGUGAUUUGAUAGACAUUUGGUGAUAGUUCAGGUAGAAAACUCAGUCAUCUGAUAGUUCAGGUCCAAAACUCAAAAAAAAUAAAAAUUAGGUGUGUUUGACGAUUUAUAUUAGUGAACAUUUCAAAUUAGGUAUAGAAAAGGUGUCAAUUUUUUUACGAUUAUAAAAUAGUUGAUUAAAUAAAGAGAGACACAAUUUGUUAAAUGUUUUGAGAGUACAAAUUUCUAGUAUAUAUAUUUAAUUAUUGUGUUCGUUUAGCAUGUUUGUGUUAGUGUGAUAUUUAAUUAGCAUCAACAUCAAUAUUCAAAAAAUUCAUCACAAGAAACACAAAACAAAAUUAUCUAUAUCCAUAAGUUCUUAACAUUUUUGGGGAUAUAUACUAAUUAAGAGAUCUAAUUGGGUCUAUGGUGAUCUUCUAUUUAGUGAGAUCUUCUAUAUCUUCAUGAUAUUCAAUAAUAAGAAGUUGUGAAUCGUAUAUCCCCAAGGUAUAAUAUGUAAACACCUAUGUAAUUAUUUUUUGGUCAGCUAAACACUCUGCGCACAUAAAUAUCCGUUAAAAAUUAGAGGGGUUGUCGCUGUUUUUUUCAUCGACAACUCCUUCUUAAAUCGAAUAAAGAGAGAAUAGCUAGCUAGAUUUACUUACCUAACAAAAUAACCAAAAGGGAAACGAAGAAAACCUUUUGGAUUAAUGUUGCCUUCUCCAUUCUCUUCAAAUUAGUAUUUUGGUAUUAUUGAAAAUUUAAAGUACUGUUAAUUUAGCAAUUUAUAUGUUUAUAAUAUAGGGAGGAAAAGGCAUUGACCACAACUUAUUGAUAGAGAAAUAAUAACCACAAAUUAAAACCGCAUUUUCAUAUACUCCUCACAUUAUGAACUUCCUUAAACUUUGCUUUCAUCAAUAUUUAAUCUUAAAAAUGAAUAUAAUAUAUUAAAAAGAAAAAACUAAUGGAUAUUUUCCUCUAUAUAGGAGUGGGCAUUUGGUACGUGAAUAAUUUAAUAUGAGCGUCGAACAUAAAAAAUGAGAAUUGAGAUGGGUCUUGCUCUGAUAUCAUGUAAAAUGAAAGAAAUAGAGAUAUGAUUUGGAAAUUUUCAACUGAGUUUCUGAAACCCAUCUAAAUAUGCAUAUGCCUAUAAUAUAUAAAUGUGUCUUUUAGCUUGCAUCAACCGACAUUUAUGCUUACCAACUUUGAAUGCUCAAACUGGUCUUGGCCAUCUCAUGUAAAUGGUUGCCUCUUUUGUCCAUCUUAGCUACCUGUAAGUUGGAACUUUUGCUUCCCUCCCACUGGAGGCGGAUCCACGCAUGAUUCAUAUGUGGGGUGCACGUGUAUCCUUUAACUUCCGAAAAAAAUUAUGUGUGUAUAUAUAUAUACCUUGAGAAACUGACAAAAAUUAGGAUAUAAUUAAGAGUGCACGUGCACCUAGGGGUGUACAUGGUUGGGUUGGUUCGGGUUUUUCAAAUAUCAAACCAAACCAAUAAAACUCGAGUUUUUCAACCUUGAGUUUUUUCGGGUUUUUCCGCUAAAGUAUUCAUACAAACAUAUAAUUUACUUGUACUUCAAAUAUUUCUUCAGUCCUACCAAAAUACAACUAUCUAAGGUGUUUCUUAAGAAUACAACACAAACAAUGAUAUGCUUAAUGACACUAAAAUAUCCAAAUAAUAAUAAAAUCAUGUAAAACAAAUAUUGCAAAUUAACAAGUCAUAAUGAAAAUGAUCAUAAUUUAAAAGUACUAAAUCAUUCUAAAAUAAGUUUAAUAAGUAUUAGUUACAUGACUAUAUAUUAAAGGAAAUUAAAUUAGAUUAUGUACUUUAAUUGUCUAAACCAAUGUAAAACCAAAGAACAAAAUAUUCAAUAUUAUUGUCAUUCUUAGUGUUAAAUUGAUUUUCUUUUUGCAUUAGUAUUAAUUUGAUUUUGAUUUAAGUUUUAUUAUAAUUACCAACUUCUAUGGACUAUAAUCUUUAUGGAACCAUUCAAAAUUCUAAGUUUCAAACUUGAAAUAAUAUAUUAAAAGAUAAAAACUAUGAAAAAGUAUAAGAAAUAUUUUAAAAUUAUAUCAAAGUAAAUAUUUUUAUGUAUAAAAUAAAAUUUUAAAAUUAUAUAUAUAAUGUCGGGUUGGUUUUUUUUAGUUUAAAACCAAACCAACCCAAAUGUAGUCGGAUUUUUUUUUCCAACACCAAACCAAGUCAAACCAACCACUAGUCGGUUUGAUUCGGUUUGCGGUUUGAUUCGGUUUGCGGUUUGGUUCGAUUUCGGUUCAGUUUUGUAUACCCCUAGUGCACCCAUGAGUAAUAUAUGAAUUCCCUUGUGUUGUUAGUACAAGCUAGAGGAACUACCUGCGAAACCAGGGUUAGAGCCCUAUUUCACUCGAAAUCUUCAAAUCCUGAAUUCGCCUGUCUCCCACCUCUUUGCAUCCCCUUGUAACUAGAGGUAAGGUUUGAUAGGUGCUUAAAUAAUGCACAAGGUAAGGGUCCGCGCUAAACCCCCACCACCACUGGAGACAUUUAAAGUUAUAUAAAAUCGAAUAAGUAGACACACAUAUCCUACAUGACAUAAAAUUGACAAAUUACCAUACAAUAAACACAUGCAUCCUACGUGAUAUAAUUAAAGCAAUAUUGAUCAUUCUUAAUGAUGGUUGAAAUAUUGAAGUUCAAUUCACAUCACAAACUGUUAAUCUGUUUCAUCGAAUAUCACUCAACGUUUACUUUAUUGCACUAGAUUAUAUUUUUAAUCAUAAAAGUUACCAGUAUAUCUUUGCCUAUAUAGUAAGUAAAAAGUCAUAAUGAGGAGGAAACAAAAGAGACAUUUUAUAUGAUACACUUUGACAACAAAGAAAUAGUAACAAAAAUUAUUUAAACAAUUUCUAAUUUCUACCAAAAAAAAAUAGUUUAGCAACUAAAUCAUCAAGUUACAUCAUUUACAAAAAAAAAUUAAAAAAAAUGUAACAACUUUUGAGUACGAUAAAUAAAAAUCGAAUCGAUCAUCCAAUAAAUCACCCUUUACAAAUCAAGUUGUUCUCUGGCGUUAACAGGCGGAGAUCCAGUUGGUGGAUGUGAAGAAUUUUUGCAAUAACACUUAUGUGUUUUCAUGUAACAUGUAGGAGCAUCACCAGGAUCCAAACAUUUCAAUAAAACAACGCAAUCAAGAUCGCUAUUACACAUAGUUUCAUUAUAAUUUGGUCUACUAUUUGGAAGUUUACAAUAACAAUUUUUUGUACUUGCAAAACAUGAAGGUCUCCCAUUGAAGCAGUUCAAUUGUCUAGCACAAUCUGCAGAUGUUCUACACCUAAAAGGUUUAGUAUCAUGUGGAAGUCUGCAAUAACACAUGUUUGAUAUGUAGUAACAUACAGGAUGUCCUUCAUUGCAUUUUAAAUUUUUUAUGCAAAUGUCACUAUCGUUGCACCAAGUAACUCCCUUGAUUGUUUGUCCUAAUAAUAUAACCAUAGACAAUAAUAUUAUAUCGAACAAGUUAGCGAAAACAUAGCUAAAGUAUUCUACUCUUACUAUCCCAAUUUAUAUGGCACUUUUCGUUUUUCAAAGGUCAAACUAACCAGAAAUUUGCGCAUGAAAUCUUCAAUUUUCUUGAAAUGAAAUUUAUAUAUUUGUAAACUAUGUAAAAAGUACUAUAAAUCACAACAAUUGAUAAUUCAAAAUGUUUAAAAGAUCUAUGAAAAAUUUACAGUAAAAAAUAGACUUGUUUGAAUCUUGAAAUCUAAAAAGUGUCGCAUAAAAUGGGACGGAGAGAGUAAUAUUUGUCUUCUAUUAACAGUUAAAAGGGUCAAAAAUACAUAUGUUAUCAAAGACAAUGUUAACAUCGAUGGGGAAAAAACGACGGACAGGAUCGAUCCAAAAAGAUCAAGGAGAAACCAACCCAGUCCGUCGGAUUAUAUUUUCACGCGAAAAUAAUCAAAAAGUUUUUAAUUCCUUUUUAAAGAAAAUCGAGACUAUGUUGAUUUUUUAAGUAUAAAAUUACAGUUGAAGAGUAUAAUAAAAAUGAUGAAAAUAUUUCAUUAAAUAACAUAUGUGAUCGAGUGGUAGAAUAGCUCCAGUAAUAGAAAAUACCCCUAUUGGUAAUGCAAAUUAUGAUCAGGUGUGUGAGUUUCCUAUCUGAACUAUCAUGUGUUCACUUUUUCUACAUGAAAUUUCCUACCUAAAUAAUGGUGACAUUUCAGAUAGAAAAAGUGAACUAAAUAGUUUAAGUGUGUUUCGAUAAACACUUAGAGAUAGUUAAGGUAGCUAGGAAAUUCACUUAUCUUAUAGUUCAGGUAUGAAACUCAAAAAAACGAAAUUGUUUGUGUUCAUUUAGCAUGUUUAUGUUAGUAUAUUUAUUUUCUUAAUUAUUUUUUUUAUGUUUGUGUGUUAGUAUAUCUGAUAAUUAAUUAGCAUCAAUAUGACAAUAUUAAAAAAAAUUCAUCACCAAAAUUGUUGGGAUCGUAAGAGAUCUAAUUGGGUCAAUGGUUGUCUUCUAAUUAGUGAGAUUUUUUUUAAUCAUUACCCAGGUGGGAUAAAAUAUUUUGUCAUAACAUAAAAACAUGUCAUUUAAUUUGACUUACACUGACAUAAAUGUCAUCUAAUUUUGAGUUUUCACAAAUAGACACUUAAACUUGUAUAAAAUUGAACAAAUAGACACAUUUUUCCUACAUGACGUUCAACAUGACAAUUUUGUGUUCUACAUAGCAUCGUACUUGUAUUAUAUCUUGUAGGGCACGUGUGUCUACUUGUGCACAAUUUACAAUUUUAUUUUUAUAUAUCUUCAUUGUAUUCAACCAUAAGAACUUGUGAAUUGUAUAUCCACAAGGUAUAUACAACGUAAACACCUGUGGGAUAUAAUGAUAUUUUUUAUAAAACAAAAAAUUGUGUAAUUACUUUUUUUGGCCAUAUAUCUCAUAGUACGAAAUAGAAGAUAGGAGUGUGAGUUGCUUCAUGAUUUUCAAUGGGACGUAACUAACCUUUCUAACUUCUAAGAUAACCAAGCGAAAAAAGUGUAUUCUAAGAUAAUCCAGGGAGGAUAGCUAGCGAAAUUUACUUACCUAACAAAAUAACCAAAAAGGAAACGAAGAAAACCUUUUGGAUUAAUGUUGCCUUCUUCAUUCUCUUCCAAUUAGUAUUUUGGUAUUAUUGAAAAUUUAAAGUAUUGUUAAUUUAGCAAUUUAUAUGUUUAUAAUAUAGGGAAGAAAAGGCAUUGACCACAACUUGUUGAUAGAGAAAUAAUAACCACAUUCAUAUGACCACAAAUUUAAACCUUAUUUUCAUCAUAUACUAUUCAACCAUUGAGCUUCCUUAAACUUUGCUUUUACCACUAUUUUCUUUUAGAAAUGAUUGUAGUAUUCUAGCCAGUUUUUUAUGCUAUCUCCCACCAGCAAUAGAUAUCAGAUAACUCUGUCCAUCAAGAUUAAGACAAAUUGAAGAAUCACCUAGUAGUUUUUAAUCUUUGCUGAGUUUCCACCACUUUUUUUAAUCUUAAAAAAAAUAUAAUAUAUUAAAAAAUAAAUUAAUGGAAAUUUUCCUCUAUAAAAAUAAAGUUAAACUUUACCUGCUAUCGAGUCUAUUGACACGUGUAUGUCCGUUAGUAUAAAGGGUAUAUAUGCUCUAAUUUUUGGACAGCAGGGGCACCAAUGUCCCAAAAGUAUGACGGAGGUUAUAUGUAUAUCAUUUAAGAUAGUUCGGAGGUUACCCGCUAUAUAUAUCGAGUUAAUUUAUAGAAAAAGUUACAAUAAUGCCCUAGCAGGUGUUGAGGAAUUACAUCGAUUUAUAUAAAUAAUGUUGAGACGAUAUUUGUAUAUGCACCUAUAAUUUUUGUAUUUCGUUUUGAUAUAUUCAUUACAUGAAUGAAUAUAAUUGAUAUAGGUUGUGAUCAUUUCGUUACACAAAUAAAUACAAUUAAUUAAUAUUGAUACAUAUCAAAAAUCCACUUUAAAACUUUCUAUUAUAUAUUUUCAUUAAAUUUUGCAUUGCUUACAUUCUUAUAUAUAUAAGGCCCGCAUAUAUUUUAACAUCUUCAAAUUUCACUAAGUUUUUUUUAUAAAAUUUGGAUUUAGGUCUCCGAUCUUAUUGAGACAACCCGGUGGACAAUAGCAAGUACGAGUCUUUUGGUUACAUAAUGGUUUCCCAACGUCGCAUAUCAAUUGGUGAUCACAGUCUUCAUCCACAUCGCACACAAGCCCCCCAUUGCUUCCUUGUCCUAAUUACACCAUUAACAUUAUUGAAUAAGUUAUAAUGAAGAAAAAAAAUAGAGUUAUCAUAAUUAAAUUAAAUAAAAAGAGAUUAAAAUUGAUUAUAAGUGGAAUAGUUAUAGAAGAGAGUUGGAUUAGUACUUAAUUAUACCUAGCAAAAUAAGCAAAAAAGACACUAAGAAAACCUUUAGGAAUGCUGCCUUAUCCAUUCUCUCUUCCAAGUACUAAUUUUGGUUGCACUAAAAUAAUUAUAUGAAUUUUUUGAUUGUUAUCUCUUUGUAACUUAAUUCUUAUCUUAGCAAUCUAUUUAUAGGGGAAAAAGUUGACCAAGGUUGAAUAAAAUCUAGCUAUUUGGAUAAGUUAGUUAAAACUUUAAUUUGCCAUUUUAUAUUUUGGAUAAUUUAAGAUCCAUUUUUUUAUUUUUGUACUCCCUCUGUCCCAAUUUAUAGGACGUUUUUCAUUUUUCGAGAGUGAACCAAUUUAAGUUUGACCAAAAAUUUGCGCAUGGAAUUUUAAAUUUUUUUGAAACAAAAUUUAUAUAUUUGUAAACUAUGUAAAAAGUACUAUAAGUCACAGUGAUUGACAAUUUAAAAUAAUUAAAAGAUAAAUGAAAAAUUUACGAUCAAAGAAUUGUUUGAAUUUCGAAAUUCGAAAAAUGUCACAUAAAUUGAGAUGGAGGGAGUAAUUAAUUAGAUUUCUAAGAUUGGAUUACACGGGUCACGGAUAUAUCAUUAUUGACUAAAUAUAGUAAUAUAAUUGUUUGUUAUAAUUAAUGGAGAAAAGUCUAAAAUGCCCUGAUGUCAACCUUUUGGCCCAAGAAUAUCCUCAAUAUUAACUCUUUGGCUCAUAUUUGCCCUUGUUAUUAACAACUCCCCAAAAAUAAAUUCAUUAACUAUUUGUUUGUUAUGUUGACCGAUUUGUUUGGUCCAAAUUUAAAUCCUUCUCAAAUAAAUAAUAAAAACCACAUAUAAUUCAUACUCUUACCCAAUACACUUGAAAAAUACUUUCCCUAUCCCUCUUUACGUGUCCAAUUUUAAAUUUUUACUUGUCAUUUUUGACAAAUCAAGAAAAAAGAAUUAUUUCUUUUACCUAUUAUAACCUCAAUUUAUUUAGAGUUAAUGUUUUUGAAAAAGGUAGAACCUCUUUAAUGAGUAAAUUGAUUUUGAAAUUCUAUCAAUUAAUAGGGGUAAAAGGGUAAACUCAUUGUGUCAAUUAUUAUUUUCUUAAUAGGUGUGUCAAGUCAAAAAUGGACACGUAAAUAAGGACAGAGGGAGUAAUAUUUUAAAAAAUAUUAUUUCAUGAUAUUUCCUAUUGACCUAUUUUAAAUCAAUCCUCAAUUUAUUAUAACCCAAAUCAUAACGGGGGAUCCAACUAAAAUUCAUACUCGUCUUAUCUGAUUGUCCAUUAUUUCAAUACCACUGUAUGAACUUGUAAUGACCUGUUCCCGUCGUUAUAGAAAAGCCAACGGGGAAAAAAUUUGGGCCAGAAAACUUUUUUUGUAGUAACUUGGAAUUUCCCAACCUAAUCCAGAUUUGGACGAAAUCGAAAUCAAUAAGUUCUAGGGAAAACUAGUAACAAUUGGGUGAUCUAACUAUGAUUUUGAUCACAUAGGUAGAUAGCUAAGACGUUAAGGAACCCGUGCGACUUUACGAAAUUGAAUUGGAGCGAGUAGAAUUCCCAAAACUGAUCUUAGCGUGAACGGGUAGUUUCUGAGUGUCAUGGGUUGGAGGUGUGUUGUGAAAUGGGAGUUUGAAACUCUUAAAUCAACUCACUGGUUUCGUGCAAGCCGUUGUGGUGGGAUUUGUCCGCCAGGGUGGGGCCGCUGUAGCGGGGUGAGGACCACUGUGGCGGGCCAGUCACGAAUUAAGUCGGAAAUAAACCCCAAAAUCAUUUUAUUCUGCAAGUUUCGACUUUAAGAGCUAGGAGACAAUCCCAGGUGCUUUCUUGACAGUUUUCCACCAUUCUUGAGGCUAAAGGUAAGGUUUUCACUCCCCGAAUCUGUUUUUCGAUUCAUAGAACUUAGUUUCGUGGGUAAUUAUUAUCGGGGAAGGGUUUUGGAACUGUUUUAAUGGUAGGAAAAGCCCUAAUUUGGAUAUUGGGAUCAAGGAUUUGACCCAGGGUUGACACUAUUUAUUAUAGUCCGGGUAAUUAAGUCUUGUUUAUUGAUCCUAGCAUUAUAUUGUUUGUUUGUAGACUAAGAACAAGCGGAAUCUGAAAAGGGAAGAAUCAAGUUUCUUAGGGGAUUUUCAAGCUUUGUUCGAGGUAGGUAAUGGUUGUGAUUUCAUGUUGUGUGAUAUAUGUUUAAUUUGUUCUUGCUUCAUUAUAAUGCAUGUAUGUAUGCGAAUGUUGCAUGGUUGAUCUCACUAAUCGUAAAUAAGGAUAGACGGAUAAUUGAAUGCCAUGAAUAAUGACUUGAUUGUAUGAGAAUGUACUUGUGAUUGUGAUUGUGGCUUGUUGAAUAGAUCGAGUGUUACGUUCCGACACACUAACUGGGAUCGGCUUCCACGUACCGGCAUAAACAUUGGAACAAGUGUCACGAUCUGACACACUAACUUGGAACGGGUACCACGUACCGGUACACUAACUGUUUGGGUGUGGGUUCCAUGAGAGGACCAUUGACUUGACAUAAGUGAAAUUGUACGUUGUUCGUAAAUGAUGUUGAUAUUGUAUAUGUUCAGUUUAUGCAUGUUAUUAUUAUGUUGUAAUGACUUAUGUAUGUUGCACUUAGUGGGAUAGCUAUGUGAUCCUACCAGUACAUUGUGGUUGUGUACUGAUACUGCACUUGCUCUUUCUUUGUUGAGUACAGGGCAUCUUCAAGCGGCUAUUGGCAGACCUCGUUUAGAAGAUCAGUGAUCGUCAUCGAAUUCAAGGGUGAGCCAGUUCUUCUGGGCUGCCAUGAGUUCUCUUUUCGUUUAUGUCCCCAUUUCGGACUUAUACUAGUACAUUAUGAUUUCUUAUGUUAAAUUGGGUGGUACCCAUUUUCUUAGACUUGUUGGACUUUAGAUGUUUUGGUACAUUGACUUUCAGGUUCUAGAUAUUAUUCCGCAUUUGUUUUGUUAGACUUUUGUUGGAGUUUAUGGGAACUCCCUAUUUUCCUUUUCUUAGACAUUUAAACCGGUUUCCGUAUCUUUAAAUGCCUUAGUUUUUGGUUAAGUUGCUUAGUUUGGGUUGUAGUAUUGGUUCUCCCACCAAAGGGUAAGUGUGGGUGUCAAUCACGACGGUCUGGGUCGUGACACAACUAAUCAAAAAUCCAGUGUAGCACAUUAUAUCAACUUUUCAAAUCUUAAAACAUGUACAUUAUAUUAUAAAUUUUCAUUAAAUUUUUCAUUAAUUACAUUCUUAUAUAAUAAGGCCUACAUAUAUCUUAACCUCUUCAGAUUUCACUAAGGUUUCUUUAUAAAAUUUGAAUUUAGGCCACCAAUCUUGUCAAGACGACCCUGUGGACAAUAGCAAGUACGAGUCUUUAUGUCACAUAAUGGUUUCCCAACGUUGCAUAUCAAUUGGUGAUCACAAUCGCCAUCUUCAUUGCACACAAGCCCCCCAUUGCUUCCUUGUCCUAAUAACACCAUGAACAUUAUUGAAUUAGUUAUAAUGAAAAAAAAAAUAGAGUUAUCAUAAUAAAAUUAAAUAAAAAGAGAUUAAAAUUGAUUAGUACUUAUACCUAGCAAAAUAAGCAAAAAAGACACCAAGAAAACCUUUAGGAAUGUUGCCUUAUCAAUUCUCUCUUCCAAGUACUAAUUUUGGUUGCACUAAAAUAAUUAUAUGGAUUUUUUGAUUGAUAUCUCUUUGUUACUUAAUUGUUAUCUUAGCCAUGUAUUUAUAGGGGGGGGGGGGGGGGGGGGGGGGCACACAUUUAUUAAUUUAUAUUNNNNNNNNNNNNNNNNNNNNNNNNNNNNNNNNNNNNNNNNNNNNNNNNNNNNNNNNNNNNNNNNNNNNNNNNNNNNNNNNNNNNNNNNNNNNNNNNNNNNNNNNNNNNNGGGGGUGGGGGGGGGGGGGGGGGGGAAGUUGGCAAAAUCUUAGCUAUUAAUGUAUUUAUAACAAAAAUAAGUUGGUUAUAACUUCAAUUUGCCUUUAUAAAAUUUGGAUAAUUUCAAAUCAAUUUUUUCUUUUUGUAAUUAAUGAGAUUUCUAAAAUCGUAAUUAAUGAGAUUUCUAAAAUCGAAAUAAUUGAAUACAUUAUUAUUGACUAAUAAUACUAUUAUUAUUAUUUGUUAUUGAAUUGGUACAAAACUACCAUUUAUCUACCUUUCGGGCUAGAUAUACCUAACGUUAAUCUUUUAGCUAAAAAAUUUCUUCAAUAUUGACCCUCUGACUCAUACUGGCCUUUAUUAUUAGCGACCACCCUAAAAUAAAUUCAUUGAAUAUUUAUUUGUUAUGUUGACUAAAAUAAAUUCAUUGAAUAAUUCAACAAGUAGACAAGUCCUAUGUGACAUCCUACAUGACAAUUUGCAUUCUACAUAGCGUCCUAUGUGCAUUAUGUCACGUAGUAUGUCUGUAUCUGUUUAUUCAAUUUUAUACAAGUUAAAGUAUCUACUUGUCUACAUUCAAAGUUGAAAGACAUAGAUGUCAGAUGAAACCAAGUUAAAGGGGUCGGUAAUUGUGGUAACACAAUAAGAGCCUAAAAAGAUACUAAAAAAAUAUAAAACCAUAAUAUAUAGCCUUAUCCACGUAUAGCCUUAACCAUUCAAAAUAUAUGGAUAAUAAAGUUAGAAAACAGAGAGUAAACAAGCAAGAACAGAGCAACACAACUCAACAACAAUGGAGAAUUCUUUAACACUUUCACUACUCUCCACAAUUCCAGUUCCUAAUCCAGUACUCUCAACAAAAUGUAGUGUUCAUUUUCGAGGUUCGAUUUCCUCGAAAAUUGGUACAAAAUGUGGUGAAUUUAGAUCAUCAACAAGAUUGUAUGCAGGGCUAACAGAGAUAGAACCAGAUAUUAACGAAGAUCCUGUUGAUCGAUGGAGAACUAAUGGCAUCGACAUUGUAAUGUUUCUUUUCUUCGUUGUUUUUAAAUAAUUGUGGUGUUCGAGUCAGUUUUCUACCUUCUAUCAACAUAGAUAUCGAAUAAUUUUGAUAUAAUACAUAAUGUCCUUUUAACUUGGAUUUAGCUGACAUUUAUGUCCUCCAAUUUUGGGUGAACACAAGUAGACACGCCCUAUGUAUGUCACGUAGGACACAAAAUUGUCAUGUAGGACGUCACGUAAGACAAAUGUAUAUAUUUAUUCAAUUCUAUAUAAGUGUAUAAGUGUCUACCUGUGCUAUUGUGCACACUCAAAGUAAGAUGGCAUGGAUGUUAGUUGAAACCAAGUUGAAGGAUAUAUUUAUGUAUUAUGUCAAUAAUUUUUUCCACUAAAAUUUUGACAGAUGAGAAGAAAUCAUCUACUAAUAUUAUCGACCACUAGUUUAAGACAUAGGCAUGUUAACUAAUUUUUAUUUUAUUUUUAUUUGUUGCAGGAAGAUUAUGUUUUUGGAAAAUACGAUGAUCAUCAUACGUACUUUGAGAGUGAAGAUAAAAAAGGUACAUAACAAUGUAUGUGUUUUUUUUUUCUCUUUUUAAUUUGUAAUUUUGAUUUGGAAAAAUGUCUAAAUUUGUCCAAUGUAUUAUUUGAAUUCGAUCAAAUUAGUCUUUGUUCGACUUUUCGUUUGGUAAAUUGUUUCAUAUUUGUCCAACGUGAAAUUGGUGAACUCCACGUGUUCAAAUUCUUCAAAAAAACACAAUAUUUGAGUAGCUAUUUUUACAAAUAAAUAGGUAAAUGGAUUUAUACUUAAAAUUGUCCUUAAUUAUAUUUUACUUGCCUUUUCAGUAUCAUUUUGGGGAUCCAUAGCAGAAGAUUAUGCUGCUAUUGCACCCCCAACAGGAUUUCAAGGUAUGUAACAAAUUACCAUAAUCACAUGAUCAUUAACAUGAUCUGUUUAUUUAGUUAUUUACUUUUCGCACUUCGCCUAAUUCCACGAGAUAUCUUCCAUCAACAAGUAUCAUCUAAUUCUAUCCAUCCACCAAUGGGUUGUGGUGCACUGAUGAGAGUGUUUCACCCUUAACUAGAGGUUUUGGGUUCGAGCCCUGAAUAUGAAGAAAAUCAUGUUGGGAGCGCCACCCCCGAAUAUACCCUGCAGUGUGCGAUCCGAAUUUAAUCGAGGCUCCAGACACCUUGUGAGAAACCAAAAAAAAAACUAUAGCCAUCCACAAAGGAUAGGACAGAUGGAAAUAAUCACCUGGUGUUUUUUUUUUCUCCGCUGAGAAUAGAACAUGAGACCUCAUGACUCUUAACCAAUUCAUUGGCCACUAGGUCACUCUCUCCGUUGAGAAUAGAAUCUGAGACCUCAUGACUCUUAACCACUUCAUUCGCCACUAGGUCACACCCUUGAGUGCUUAUUUAGUUAUUUACUUACGAUAACUUAUUUUCUGGUGUUCGACAAUAGGUAUUAUUUCAUGGCUGUUUCCUCCAGCAAUUGUUGCAGGAAUGUACUUCAAUGUUCCUGUAAGUUCAUGAUAAAAAAAUCUCCAUUCAUUUUUUCGAGUCUCGAAAAUGCCCUUUUCCAGAAAACUGAAGUCUUGUAUUUUCACUUCUUGACAAUGCAGGGGGAGUAUUUGUACAUUGGAGCAGCUGUUUUUACAAUUGUGUUCUGCAUUAUUGAGAUGGACAAACCAAGUGAAGCACACAAUUUCGAGCCUCAAAUAUACAACAUGGAGAGAGGCGCGCGAGAUAAGUUAAUAUCGGAUUACAACACAAUGGACAUUUGGGAAUUCAACAAGAAAUAUGGCGAUUUAUGGGAUUUUACUGUUAAGAAAGACGAUAUCAUGAAACGAUAGAAAUAAAAAUGAAACAAAUUCAUAUAUACGUAAGGUAUAUAUUUGAAUCGCGUAAUGAUCAUUGGUUUUCAUCGAUUACUCGAGGAUGCAUAUGUUCUGGUGUUGAUCCAUGGCUGUAGUAUUUGUUUCUUAACUACAUAGAGAUGAAAAAAACUCUAAUGAACUCCUUGCGGAAGAAUUACACUGUAUAUAUAUAAGGUCAAGGUUAUAUUAUUUCUUAUUUGUAUAUGUCGAAUCCCUUUAUCAGUUCUUUAUAUUUUGAAUUUCUUUAAUGAAAAUCUUGAUUCCGCUACUGCUAUGAGAGUUCUAUAAAUCAAGAAGUGCAUAGGAUGUUUGAUUGCAUGAUAAGUGAUAAUAACUAACAUGAUUUGGUUACUUAGUUUUUUGUUUUCUAUUUUUUUUUUUAUGAAUGUUCUGAUAUUGCUUGUUUUAAGUAGCUGCAUUAGCUCUAUGUGCUACUCUCCCCGUUUUAUUUUAUAUGAGUUUGACUUGACAUAAAAAAAAAUUAAUUUUUUUUUUGAAACUUAUGGUAAAAUGGAUAUUUUAAAAUUAAGUUGUUACUUAAUAUAAAAUUAGUCGUUCUUUUCGGACUGACUAAAAAAAAAAGUGAGUCAUAUAUAAACUAGGACAGGAGAGUAAUAGUUAAUCAUUUCUCAAAAGAUGUAAGUACUAUUUAUAUUAAAUUUUAACACAUGGUCACUAAAGAGCAGUGGAUGUUGCAUUACUUCGCACUUAGAAAUUCUAAAUUCGCCUUUGUUAAGGAUACUUAAAGAGAGAGAGUAUAUACAGGACGCUUGAAUAACCGCUAUCAAUGACAUAGUAAAAAAAUAAUAUCUUAAAAUUUACAAGAUUGAAAUUUCAAACUUCAAACAUACGAGUUUGAAGUUAAGUUGGACUUACAAAGGAUUUGAUAUGAGAAAAAUUACAAUUACUAAUAAAAUUGGGACUUGGCAAAAGAGGUGAAAACAGAUAGUUUGGUGAGGGUGCAAUAGAAAUGAUUACAUUUUUCAUGACUUAUGAAGUUAUCAAUCAUAGUAAUUAAAUGUGACAAAUGCACAAAUUGGAGCAAAAAUUAAUACUUUGAGGUUCAACUAACCUCAAAAUUUAAUUAGUGCUUCUCAUUUUUAUAACUCUUGACUAAGACAAGAUAAGGUAUGACUAGUUCAAAUGGACUUAGUCAAAGAUCACUUUCACAAAGACAGCAGUGAAUAACAUAGGUGUAUGCAAAAUUAUUUUGCAAGAAUUGUCAACUUUUUGUCAUCACAAUUUAGUUUAUAAGUGGAUUUUUCAUGCGUGGAGUCGAUACAGAUUCAAUAAAAUUCAAUAAUUUUAACUCAAAACAUGUAUAUUGUUGAGAAAUUCAAUAAAUAUGUACAUAGAAUAAAUUUUAUAAUGUUGGAUCAACCUUUAAGAUUUAGGUAUAAGACGGGUGAUUUCAAGGCUUUAUUUUUUAUCUAAUACUAGCUUGUUUAGCCAAACUUUUGAAAAGAUUGAAAUUUCAGAUAUUAUGAAAAUAUAUAAGAAAUAAAAAAAAAUACGAAGUGGUGUCAAAUAAUACCAAGCAUUUAUGUGUCACUAUUUGAUGGCAAAAGUCCUUUUAAUGACCCCUCCAAUACUCUCCAAAGGACCCCAUUGGCUUCCAUAGUCAAGUUUAAAAGUCUUGGUCUUCAUCAUUUAUGGGCCAAUUUGAAGAUUAAUUGUAUGUCACCUAAUCGUGUCAUCGAAUCAUUAGCUUUAAUACGAGUUGUUGGAUCAAUACUUUUACAUGGUAUGAUAUUAUCCGUUUUGAAUCAAGUCUGCAGGUUUUUCUAAAAAGUCUCACAUCAUUAAGAGAAUCCUACAUCUUAUAUGUGUGUAUUUUUUUCUUUUCAACUUCAUAUGUAGAAAUUAGUUUGCAUGCUCAACAAUAACAACAUAUAUUUUAAUGUCCAAUUGUGUUAAUUUCAUCACUAAAGACAGAGGUGGAUUCGAUAUGGGAAAAAGGUGCAAUAGAAAUGUACUUAUGAUGUUACCAAUCAUAGUAAAAGGUGAAGCUUUGCUUGGACCAAAAUUUUUAUGAGGUUCAACAAACCUAUGUGCAUUAGUACUUUCCUAUCUUUUAACUCUUGAACUCUUCGCAUGUGAGCUUGCUUAGAUUGUUGGUGUCAAGUCUGAAUAAAAGAGAAAAAUUGUCAAAAAUCAAUUGAAAAUAACUUUUCUAUCUCAUAAAAUUAAGAUAGGACUACACACAUUUUAUCCUUCGUGUAAAUUGUAUUUGUAAAAUUAAACUGAAAUAGUUGUCAUUGUUAUUGAUUUUUAACUCUUGAAUAGUUUAUGACUUGUUCAAAUGGACUUGGUCAAAGAUCACUUUCACAAAGACAGUAGUGAUUUACAGACGGACAAGAAGUGUCAUCUAUUUGUCAUCACAAUUUAUCUUGAAAGUAGAAGUAGAUUUAUCAUGUGUGAGUUUGAAUUCAAUAACUUUUACUUAAAAUUUUAUAUAUUUAGAACUCUCAGAUCCUAAAUUCCUCUUUAAAAUUUAAAACUAAGAGUUUCAUAAUAUUGAGGCUUUAUAUUUGAAUUUAUCUCUUAUUUUGUCAAGUUUAUUGUACGCAUGAAAUUUUAAAAUAUUAUGUGCAUACAUAAAAAUAAAAAUACGAAGCAGUAUCAGAUAAUACCGAAUUUUUAUGUGUCACUAUUCGAUGGCAAAAAGUCCUUAUAAAUGACCUCUCCAAUACUCCUCAAAGGCCCCAUUGGCAUCCAUAAGUCAAGUUUAUAAGUCUUGGUCUUCCUAAAUAAAUCCAAAGUGGAAUUUGGCUAUUAGGAUUCUAGACCAAAGUUGACGUUUGAUUUGGAAAAUAAAGUUUGGCUUAAUAUUGGCUAUUAAUAUGCAGAGUUUAGUUAUUUAUAUACUCUAUCAUGUAUAAAAUAAUACUUAAAUUUUCUCAUAAUUAAUAUUGUGUAUUAGUUAUUUCAUCUUUUAUUUUGCAUAAAGUAAUAUAUAGAUUUUUUUUCAUAACUUAUAUAUGUCUUAGUUAUGCGAAUUUCUAAAUUGCAAAUCAAUCACAUACAUAAUUUAUAAAAUAACAAGCCACCAAACAUAAUAUUACUUACGCAAAAUUUGAUAUCUACAUAACUUAACUCCAAACAAACUACCAAACCACUCUGAAUGAACAAGGUUUUCCCUAAUUAUUGCAAUAGUUUUAUAUACCUUGGAAAAAGAUGUAUCUCAGAAAUAGCUAUAGCUAGUAGUCCAAACAUGUGAAAACCUCUUGCAGAAAAAACAACAAAUAUAAACAUGAGUAUUUUCUACAAUAUGGUUGACAAAAGACUCUUCUAGGUGGGACCAUCAAAUUGGAAAACCUCCAUCUUCGUUUGAUAGAGUGUAUUAGUUAUGCUUAAAUUAAUAAUACUUGAAUUAAUUAUACAUAAAUUAUUUGUUAUGCAUUGUUUGGUUUGGUGUAUUAAAACUAGCAUGGUAUACAAAUAUUUAUUUACAAAGAUAUCAUUUACAAUUUAUGGUGGAAAAGAUGUAAAAAAACAUAUUUGAGGGGAAAUGAAGCUUUUAACCAUGCUAAUGCAUGCAUUAUAAAACCUCAUGCAUUACUGAUACCUAGAAAUUCAUGGUAUUAGUAAUACAUACCUUAAUACACAAUACAGUGUAUACAUAUCAUGAAAAAGUGUAUCAAAUAAAAUAUUACUAAUACACAGAGCUAAUGCAUGCAUUAUUUUUGCUAAUACACUUUACCAAACGACCCGUAAUGUUCAACACAACAUCAUAUGAGAAAUUAAACAACAACCAAUCAAAUGAAAAAAAAAUCCCCAUUACUCAUUAAAUGGUCAAAACCAAGACUAAAUAUGAGAAAAAACAAGAAGAAGUUUGGUAUAUAAACGUAUAUAACUCCAUCAUAUUUUAUACAAACACACAUCUCUCCUCCAACAAAAAAACAAAGCAAAAAAAAUGAUAACAAAAACAAUAUUUGGUUUUUCACUUCUUCUCUUCUUAUCAUUCAUAUUCAACCAAAACAUAUGUUAUGCACAAGAUCCACCAAGCAUAACAGGAUAUACUUGUAAUCCCAACCAAUUCAAUCCAUGUCAAACUUAUGUGUUAUACAGAGCUAGAGGACCAGAGUUUCUUGAUUUAGCCACAAUAGGUGAUCUUUUUUCAGUAAGUAGGGUAAUGAUUGCAAACCCAAGUAAUAUUUCCAACCCAAACACAACUCUUGUUAAUGAUCAAUCCCUUUUUAUCCCCAUCACAUGUUCUUGCAAUAACAUCAACACAACUUUUGGUAGCAUAUCUUAUGCUGGCUUAAACUACAAUUUCAAAGAAGGUGACACUAUGUAUGAAAUGUCAAUAUCCAAAUACCAAAAUCUUACUACUUAUCAAUCUGUUGAGGCUGUUAAUCCCACAGUUGUAGCAACCAACAUUGAUGUAGGCCAGACCAUAAAAUUCCCAAUUUUUUGCAAGUGUCCAAACACGACACAAAAUCAACCAAGACUACUCAUAAGUUAUGUUUUUCAACCUAAUGAUAACAUUUCUUCUAUCGCAUCAAGAUUCGGGAUAACCCCACAAUCCAUAACACAAAUUAAUGGAAAUAAUACCAAGAUUCUUGAUACCCUUUUCAUCCCUCUUUCUAAUCUACCUAAUCUUACACAGCCAGCAUCUUCAAACACCCCACCCCCACCCCCAGCACCAGCACCAGUAAUUCAAGAAAAUGACAGAAAAGAGACUGUCAUAGGGUUAGCAAUUGGUUUAGGGGUUUGUGGGUUGCUGUUGAUUUUGAUUCUUGGUUUGUUUUACAAGGAGAAAACAGUAAAGAAAGAAAAGUAUGGUGAUGUAGAAAGGCAAAAAAGUUUGUAUCUUGGAUCAAAAAAGAAGUCUUUUGUUGAUAAAGAUGUUGAAGUGAAUUUGUUGGCUGAUUUAUCAGAGUGUUUGGAUAAGUAUAAAAUGUAUAAAAUGGUACAACUUUGGGAAGCAACAAAUGGAUUUGAUGAAGGGUGUUUGAUUCAAGGGUCUGUGUUUAAAGGAACAAUUGAUGAAGAAGUGUUUGCAAUCAAAAAAAUGAAAUGGAAUGCCCGCGAAGAACUCAAAAUCCUGCAAAAGGUAAAAAAAAAAACGUUACGUAAAAUUCUGCAUAUAUACGUAUCCACUGCAGAAUUGCUUUUGUGUACUACUAGUAAAAAUCAUUUUAUUAAGGAUAACAUGAACACUUUAAAGUUAAAUUGUUACUGGAUAGAAUAUAUGUCAUUCUUUUCACCUUUUUUUGUUUGUGUAGGUGAACCAUGGGAAUUUGGUGAAGCUAGAGGGUUUUUGCAUAGACCCUAAAGAAGCAAAUUGCUACUUAGUCUAUGAGUAUGUUGAAAAUGGUUCACUACAUUCUUGGCUUCACGGUGAAAAACCUGAAAAAUUGAGCUGGAAAACAAGACUAAGGAUUGCCACUGAUGUUGCAAAUGGUCUCUUAUACAUUCAUGAACAUACAAGGCCAAGAGUUGUCCACAAAGACAUCAAGAGUAGCAACAUUCUCCUAGACUCCAACAUGAGAGCCAAAGUUGCCAAUUUUGGUCUAGCUAAAUCAGGGUGCAAUGCUAUAACAAUGCACAUUGUAGGUACUCAGGGGUACAUCUCCCCUGAGUACCUCACUGAUGGGGUUGUAUCCACUAAAAUGGAUGUUUUCUCAUUCGGGGUUGUGUUGCUCGAGCUUGUGUCAGGGAAGGAGGCUAUCGAUGAUGAAGGGAAAGUCUUGUGGGCAAAAAUUAGCGAUUUUUCUGAAGGGAGUGAAGAGAGGAAGGUGAGGAAAUUGCAAGAAUGGAUGGAUGAAAGUCUAUUGAGGGAAGAAUUAACAAUGGAAAGUGUUGUGAAUGUGAUGACUGUGGCUAUUUCAUGUUUGAAUAAAGAUCCUUCAAGAAGGCCAGGGAUGAUUGAAAUUGUGUAUGCCUUAUCUAAAAGUAUUGAUCUAUUUUCUGAUGUUUCAGAGGAAGGACCAUCUCCAAGGCAAGUCACAGCAAGAUAGACUACAUAAUAGUACUUGCAUAUUAUGUAAAGUUGUUUUGAAGUGGAGUAGCAUUUUGUGUUUUGAGGUUUGUACUUUACUUUAAAGUUUGCUUCUAUAUAAGUGUAAUAUUACUCCUAUAUUAUCUUUUCUAGUAGUAGUGGUAAAUCCAAUUUCGAAUAAGAGCAUGUUUAAGGUUGUUCUAGUGGAAUAUAUAUUAGUACCACAUAAGACACUUGUAAUGAAUUUAUCUUUAUGUUAUGUUGCUUGGAUUCUUCAAAAAUGAUCUUGCACUUGUGUCAAUUCUUUAAAAUUGCAUGUAUUAGUUAUGCGGUUUUCUAAAUUACCUCCUAAAUCAGCUAUCAAACAUGGUAUUACGUAACUUAACCUGCAUAACUCAACUCCAAACCAACUACCAAACGACCCUGAAUGAAAAGUAUUUCCCCUAACUCUUGCAAUAGUUUAAUAUACCUUGGAAAAAGACGUAUCUCAGAAAUAGCUAGUCCAAACAUGUGAAAACAUUCUGGAGAAAAACAACAAAUAUAAACACGAGUAUUUUCUACAAUAUGGUUGACCAAAAACUCUUCUAGGUGGGACCAUCAAAUUGAAAAAAAACCCAUCUUCCUUUAAUGUUAAAGACAAUACCAUAUGAGAAAUUAAACAACAACAACCAAUCAAAUAAUGCAAAAAAUCCCCAUCACUCAUUAAAUGGUCAAAAACCAAGACUAUGACAAAAAACAAGAACUUUGGUAUAUAAACCUCUUAUAACUCCAUCAUAUUAUAUACACACACAUCUCUCCUUCAACCAAAACCAAGAAAAUGAUAACAAGACCAAUAUUUGUUUUUUCACUUCUCUUAUUCUUAUCAUUCAUAUUCAACCAAAACAUAAUAUGUUAUGCACAAGAGCCACCAAGCAUCACAGGAUAUACUUGUAAUCCUAACCAAUUCAAUCCAUGUCAAACUUAUGUGUUAUACAGAGCUAGAGGACCAGACUUUCUUGAUUUAGCCUCAAUUGGUGAUCUUUUUUCAGUAAGUAGACUAAUGAUAGCAAACCCUAGUAAUAUUUCCAACCCAAACACAACUCUUGUUAAUGAUCAACCCCUUUUUAUCCCCAUCACAUGUUCUUGUAACAACAUCAACACAACAUAUGGUAGCAUAUCUUAUGCUGGCUUUAACUACACUUUCAAAUCAGGUGACACUAUGUAUGGUAUAUCAACAUCUAAAUACCAAAAUCUUACUACUUAUCAAUCUGUUGAGGCUGUUAAUCCCACAGUUGUAGCAACCAACAUUGAUGUAGGCCAGACCAUAAAAUUCCCAAUUUUUUGCAAGUGUCCAAACACGACACAAAAUCAACCAAGACUACUCAUAAGUUAUGUUUUUCAACCUAAUGAUAACAUUUCUUCUGUCGCCUCAAGAUUCAGGGUAACCCCACAAUCUAUAACACAAAUUAAUGGAAAUAACACCAAGAUUCUUGAUACCCUUUUCAUCCCUCUUUCUAAUCUACCUAAUCUUACACAGCCAGCAUCUUCAAACACCCCACCCCCACCCCCAGCACCAGCACCAGUAAUUCAAGAAAAUGACAGAAAAGAGACUGUCAUAGGGUUAGCAAUUGGUUUAGGGGUUUGUGGGUUGCUGUUGAUUUUGAUUCUUGGUUUGUUUUACAAGGAGAAAACAGUAAAGAAAGAAAAGUAUGGUGAUGUAGAAAGGCAAAAAAGUUUGUAUCUUGGAUCAAAAAAGAAGUCUUUUGUUGAUAAAGAUGUUGAAGUGAAUUUGUUGGCUGAUUUAUCAGAGUGUUUGGAUAAGUAUAAAAUGUAUAAAAUGGUACAACUUUGGGAAGCAACAAAUGGAUUUGAUGAAGGGUGUUUGAUUCAAGGGUCUGUGUUUAAAGGAACAAUUGAUGAAGAAGUGUUUGCAAUCAAAAAAAUGAAAUGGAAUGCCCGCGAAGAACUCAAAAUCCUGCAAAAGGUAAAAAAAAAAACGUUACGUAAAAUUCUGCAUAUAUACGUAUCCACUGCAGAAUUGCUUUUGUGUACUACUAGUAAAAAUCAUUUUAUUAAGGAUAACAUGAACACUUUAAAGUUAAAUUGUUACUGGAUAGAAUAUAUGUCAUUCUUUUCACCUUUUUUUGUUUGUGUAGGUGAACCAUGGGAAUUUGGUGAAGCUAGAGGGUUUUUGCAUAGACCCUAAAGAAGCAAAUUGCUACUUAGUCUAUGAGUAUGUUGAAAAUGGUUCACUACAUUCUUGGCUUCACGGUGAAAAACCUGAAAAAUUGAGCUGGAAAACAAGACUAAGGAUUGCCACUGAUGUUGCAAAUGGUCUCUUAUACAUUCAUGAACAUACAAGGCCAAGAGUUGUCCACAAAGACAUCAAGAGUAGCAACAUUCUCCUAGACUCCAACAUGAGAGCCAAAGUUGCCAAUUUUGGUCUAGCUAAAUCAGGGUGCAAUGCUAUAACAAUGCACAUUGUAGGUACUCAGGGGUACAUCUCCCCUGAGUACCUCACUGAUGGGGUUGUAUCCACUAAAAUGGAUGUUUUCUCAUUCGGGGUUGUGUUGCUCGAGCUUGUGUCAGGGAAGGAGGCUAUCGAUGAUGAAGGGAAAGUCUUGUGGGCAAAAAUUAGCGAUUUUUCUGAAGGGAGUGAAGAGAGGAAGGUGAGGAAAUUGCAAGAAUGGAUGGAUGAAAGUCUAUUGAGGGAAGAAUUAACAAUGGAAAGUGUUGUGAAUGUGAUGACUGUGGCUAUUUCAUGUUUGAAUAAAGAUCCUUCAAGAAGGCCAGGGAUGAUUGAAAUUGUGUAUGCCUUAUCUAAAAGUAUUGAUCUAUUUUCUGAUGUUUCAGAGGAAGGACCAUCUCCAAGGCAAGUCACAGCAAGAUAGACUACAUAAUAGUACUUGCAUAUUAUGUAAAGUUGUUUUGAAGUGGAGUAGCAUUUUGUGUUUUGAGGUUUGUACUUUACUUUAAAGUUUGCUUCUAUAUAAGUGUAAUAUUACUCCUAUAUUAUCUUUUCUAGUAGUAGUGGUAAAUCCAAUUUCGAAUAAGAGCAUGUUUAAGGUUGUUCUAGUGGAAUAUAUAUUAGUACCACAUAAGACACUUGUAAUGAAUUUAUCUUUAUGUUAUGUUGCUUGGAUUCUUCAAAAAUGAUCUUGCACUUGUGUCAAUUCUUUAAAAUUGCAUGUAUUAGUUAUGCGGUUUUCUAAAUUACCUCCUAAAUCAGCUAUCAAACAUGGUAUUACGUAACUUAACCUGCAUAACUCAACUCCAAACCAACUACCAAACGACCCUGAAUGAAAAGUAUUUCCCCUAACUCUUGCAAUAGUUUAAUAUACCUUGGAAAAAGACGUAUCUCAGAAAUAGCUAGUCCAAACAUGUGAAAACAUUCUGGAGAAAAACAACAAAUAUAAACACGAGUAUUUUCUACAAUAUGGUUGACCAAAAACUCUUCUAGGUGGGACCAUCAAAUUGAAAAAAAACCCAUCUUCCUUUAAUGUUAAAGACAAUACCAUAUGAGAAAUUAAACAACAACAACCAAUCAAAUAAUGCAAAAAAUCCCCAUCACUCAUUAAAUGGUCAAAAACCAAGACUAUGACAAAAAACAAGAACUUUGGUAUAUAAACCUCUUAUAACUCCAUCAUAUUAUAUACACACACAUCUCUCCUUCAACCAAAACCAAGAAAAUGAUAACAAGACCAAUAUUUGUUUUUUCACUUCUCUUAUUCUUAUCAUUCAUAUUCAACCAAAACAUAAUAUGUUAUGCACAAGAGCCACCAAGCAUCACAGGAUAUACUUGUAAUCCUAACCAAUUCAAUCCAUGUCAAACUUAUGUGUUAUACAGAGCUAGAGGACCAGACUUUCUUGAUUUAGCCUCAAUUGGUGAUCUUUUUUCAGUAAGUAGACUAAUGAUAGCAAACCCUAGUAAUAUUUCCAACCCAAACACAACUCUUGUUAAUGAUCAACCCCUUUUUAUCCCCAUCACAUGUUCUUGUAACAACAUCAACACAACAUAUGGUAGCAUAUCUUAUGCUGGCUUUAACUACACUUUCAAAUCAGGUGACACUAUGUAUGGUAUAUCAACAUCUAAAUACCAAAAUCUUACUACUUAUCAAUCUGUUGAGGCUGUUAAUCCCACAGUUGUAGCAACCAACAUUGAUGUAGGCCAGACCAUAAAAUUCCCAAUUUUUUGCAAGUGUCCAAACACGACACAAAAUCAACCAAGACUACUCAUAAGUUAUGUUUUUCAACCUAAUGAUAACAUUUCUUCUGUCGCCUCAAGAUUCAGGGUAACCCCACAAUCUAUAACACAAAUUAAUGGAAAUAACACCAAGAUUCUUGAUACCCUUUUCAUCCCUCUUUCUAAUCUACCUAAUCUUACACAGCCAGCAUCUUCAAACACCCCACCCCCACCCCCAGCACCAGCACCAGUAAUUCAAGAAAAUGACAGAAAAGAGACUGUCAUAGGGUUAGCAAUUGGUUUAGGGGUUUGUGGG
Molecule: long non-coding RNA, 30102 nt
Filed under: Solanum tuberosum (potato)
Lineage: Eukaryota; Viridiplantae; Streptophyta; Magnoliopsida; Solanales; Solanaceae
Description: long non-coding RNA (STUB_LNC009399)
Source: RNAcentral